RNAcentral lists this ribosomal RNA (253 nucleotides) under uncultured bacterium. RNAcentral's name for it is "partial 16S ribosomal RNA". It matches the Rfam family "Bacterial small subunit ribosomal RNA", at positions 524 to 776 of the family's 1533-position model. The record is from RNAcentral.
UACGGAGGGUGCGAGCGUUGUCCGGAAUCACUGGGCGUAAAGGGCGCGUAGGCGGCGCGGGAAGUCAUCGGUGAAAGUUCAGGGCUCAACUCUGAAUCGGCCGGUGAUACUCUCGUGCUCGAGCACUGUAGAGGCAGGUGGAGUUCCGGGUGUAGCGGUGGAAUGCGUAGAGAUCCGGAAGAACACCGGUGGCGAAGGCGGUGGUCUGGGCCUGAACUGACGCUGAGGAGCGAAAGCGUGGGGAGCGAACAGG